AACGGGUGAAGUAAUGCGUCGAACCCAACCUGCCCCAUGCUCCAGAAUAGCUCUUGGAAACGGGUGGUAAUGCUGGAUGCUCCAACUUGACGCAUGUCUUGUUGGGAAAGUGUUUAGUGGCAUGGGAUGGGGUCGCGUCCUAUCAGCUUGUAGGCGGGGUAAUGGCCCACCUAGGCUUCGACGGGUAGCCGGCCUGAGAGGGCGGACGGCCACAUUGGGACUGAGAUACGGCCCAGACUCCUACGGGAGGCAGCAGCG
This 258-nucleotide ribosomal RNA is filed under the name uncultured Gardnerella sp. Its description in RNAcentral is "partial 16S ribosomal RNA". It matches the Rfam family "Bacterial small subunit ribosomal RNA", at positions 100 to 356 of the family's 1533-position model. Lineage: Bacteria; Bacillati; Actinomycetota; Actinomycetes; Bifidobacteriales; Bifidobacteriaceae. The record is from RNAcentral.